RNAcentral lists this unclassified non-coding RNA (1650 nucleotides) under Hevea brasiliensis (rubber tree). Lineage: Eukaryota; Viridiplantae; Streptophyta; Magnoliopsida; Malpighiales; Euphorbiaceae. The record is from RNAcentral.
GCAUUAUACAGCCUAUGAUCUUGACAACUGGAAUGGCGUAGACCGUUACCAUUUCAAUGCCAAGGUGAGCAAGCAAGAUUUAGAGGACACUUAUAACGUGCCAUUCAAAGCUUGUGUGGUGGAGGGAAGAGUGGCGAGUGUAAUGUGUUCUUACAAUCAGGUCAACGGGAAGCCAACUUGUGCUGACUCUGAUUUGCUCAAGAACACCAUCCGGGGUUCUUGGGGGCUAGAUGGGUAUAUUGUAUCUGAUUGCGAUUCUGUUGGAGUUUUGUAUGAUAGCCAACAUUUCACUCACACACCGGAAGAAGCAGCUGCUUCCACAAUCAAAGCUGGUUUGGACUUGGAUUGUGGACCAUUCUUGGCAGUGCACACAGCAACAGCAGUGGGAAAAGGACUCCUAAAAGAAGCUGAUCUCAACAAUGCCUUAGCCAAUUUACUCUCGGUUCAAAUGAGGCUCGGAAUGUUCGACGGAGAGACUGCGGCCCAACCCUACGGCAACUUGGGCCCAAAGGACGUUUGCACUCCGGCCCACAAACAGCUAGCCCUCGAAGCCGCAAGACAAGGCAUAGUCCUUCUCCAAAACCGAGCCGCAGCUCUACCACUCUCCCCCACGCGCCAUCGCACAGUGGCGGUAAUCGGCCCGAACUCGGAUGCCACCGUCACAAUGAUUGGAAACUACGCGGGAGUGGCGUGCGGAUACAUUUCGCCGCUUCAAGGGAUCUCAAAGUACGUUAAGACCAUUCAUGAGAAAGGCUGUGCCGACGUCGGGUGUGCUGGGAAUCAGCUGAUUGCGGCGGCGGAAGCGGCAGCGCGUGUGGCGGACGCGGUGGUGGUAGUGGUGGGGUUGGACCAGUCGAUUGAAGCGGAGUUUAGAGAUAGAAAUGGGGUGCUUUUGCCUGGGCAUCAGGAGGAAUUGGUAAGGAGAGUUGGAAGGGCUUGUAAAGGGCCGACGGUGGUGGUUUUAUUGUCGGGCGGGCCAAUUGAUGUUUCGUUUGCGAAAAAUGAUGCUAAAAUUAGUGCGAUUCUUUGGGCUGGGUAUCCUGGUCAAGCUGGUGGUGCAGCCAUUGCUGAUGUUUUGUUUGGAGCUAUUAAUCCUGGAGGAAAAUUGCCAAUGACUUGGUACCCACAGAGCUACCUAGCAAAGGCCCCAAUGACAAACAUGGGCCUAAGACCCGACCCAUCAACCGGCUACCCGGGUCGAACCUACCGUUUCUACAAGGGCCCAGUCGUCUUCCCAUUCGGGUUCGGUUUAAGCUAUUCAAAAUUCUCCCACUCCAUAGCCGAAGCCCCAACAAAAAUCUCACUUCCUCUCUCGAAUCUCUCUCCCAAUACCUCCGCCGCUCUCACCGCAAUCAAAGUCUCUCACACCGAUUGCGCCUCCAUCUCCGAUCUCCCCCUUCUCAUCGACGUCAAGAACACCGGAACCGUCGAUGGAUCUCACACCAUUCUCGUCUUCGCAGCCGCUCCGAACCAGAUCUGGUCACCGGAAAAGCACUUGAUCGGAUUCGAAAAGGUUCAUCUGAUAGCCGGAUCUCAGAAGCGAGUUCGAAUGGGAAUCCAUGUUUGCGAUCAUCUCAGCCGAGUCGAUCAGUUUGGGACUCGAAGAAUUCCGACUGGUGAGCAUAAACUCCACAUUGGAGAUCUUACUCA